GCAUGUAUGGCCGAGCGGUUAUGGCGCUGUGUUCAGGCUCUUCCAUUAAAUGGAAGAGGAAGUUCGCAGUUCUCCGGAACGUGGGUUCGAAUCCCACUGCAUGUA
Molecule: transfer RNA, 105 nt
Filed under: Mixia osmundae IAM 14324
Lineage: Eukaryota; Fungi; Basidiomycota; Mixiomycetes; Mixiales; Mixiaceae
Rfam family: tRNA
About the family: Transfer RNA (tRNA) molecules are approximately 80 nucleotides in length. Their secondary structure includes four short double-helical elements and three loops (D, anti-codon, and T loops).
Source: Rfam by way of RNAcentral